CACGUAGGGCGCAAGCGUUGUCCGGAAUUAUUGGGCGUAAAGAGCUCGUAGGCGGUCUGUUACGUCUGCUGUGAAAACUCGAGGCUCAACCUCGAGCUGUCGGUGGAAACUGUCUGGCUAGAGUCCGGAAGAGGAGAGUGGAAUUCCUGGUGUAGCGGUGAAAUGCGCAGAUAUCAGGAGGAACACCGGUGGCGAAGGCGGAUCUCUGGGCCAUUACUGACGCUGAGGAGCGAAAGCGUGGGGAGCGAACAGG
This 253-nucleotide ribosomal RNA is filed under the name uncultured bacterium. RNAcentral's name for it is "partial 16S ribosomal RNA". It matches the Rfam family "Bacterial small subunit ribosomal RNA", at positions 524 to 776 of the family's 1533-position model. The record is from RNAcentral.